RNAcentral lists this ribosomal RNA (468 nucleotides) under uncultured bacterium. RNAcentral describes it as "partial 16S ribosomal RNA". It matches the Rfam family "Bacterial small subunit ribosomal RNA", at positions 28 to 507 of the family's 1533-position model. The record is from RNAcentral.
GACGAACGCUGGCGGCGUGCUUAACACAUGCAAGUCGAACGGAAAGGCCCUGCUUUUGUGGGGUGCUCGAGUGGCGAACGGGUGAGUAACACGUGAGUAACCUGCCCUUGACUUUGGGAUAACUUCAGGAAACUGGGGCUAAUACCGGAUAGGAGCUCCUGCUGCAUGGUGGGGGUUGGAAAGUUUCGGCGGUUGGGGAUGGACUCGCGGCUUAUCAGCUUGUUGGUGGGGUAGUGGCUUACCAAGGCUUUGACGGGUAGCCGGCCUGAGAGGGUGACCGGCCACAUUGGGACUGAGAUACGGCCCAGACUCCUACGGGAGGCAGCAGUGGGGAAUAUUGCACAAUGGGCGGAAGCCUGAUGCAGCAACGCCGCGUGCGGGAUGACGGCCUUCGGGUUGUAAACCGCUUUCGCAUGUGACGUAGCGUGAGUGACGGUAAUGGGUAAAGAAGCACCGGCUAACUACGUG